UGCUAUACUGCAGUCGAGCGGACCGACGGGAGCUUGCUCCCUUAGGUCAGCGGCGGACGGGUGAGUAACACGUGGGUAACCUGCCUGUAAGACUGGGAUAACUCCGGGAAACCGGGGCUAAUACCGGAUGCUUGAUUGAACCGCAUGGUUCAAUUCUAAAAGGGGGCUUUUAACUACCACUUACAGAUGGACCCGCGGCGCAUUAACUAAUUGGUGAAGUAACGGCUCCCCAAGGCGACCAAGCCUAACCCAACUGAAAAGGUGAUCGGCCCCCCUGGGACUGAAACCCCGCCCAAACUCCUACGGGAAGCAGCAAUAAGGAAUCUUCCGCAAUGGACGAAAGUCUGACGGAACAACCCCCCCUGAAUGAUGAAGGUUUUCCGAACCUAAAACUCUGGUGUUAAGGAAGAACAAGUACCGUUCCAAUAAGGCGGUACCUUGACGGUACCUAACCAGAAAGCCACGGCUAACUACGUGCCAGCAGCCGCGGUAAUACCUAGGUGGCAAGCGUUGGCCGGAAUUAUUGGGCGUAAAGCGCGCGCAGGCGGUUUCUUAAGUCUGAAGUGAAAACCCCCGGCUCACCGGGGAAGGCAUUGGAAACUGGGGAACUUGAAUGCAAAAAGAAAUGGAAUUCCCCUG
RNAcentral lists this ribosomal RNA (639 nucleotides) under Bacillus sp. AK-16. RNAcentral's name for it is "bacterial SSU rRNA". It matches the Rfam family "Bacterial small subunit ribosomal RNA", at positions 47 to 674 of the family's 1533-position model. The record is from RNAcentral. Lineage: Bacteria; Bacillati; Bacillota; Bacilli; Caryophanales; Bacillaceae.